This is a long non-coding RNA of Quercus robur (English oak), 461 nucleotides long. RefSeq lists it as uncharacterized. The transcript has 4 exons. Lineage: Eukaryota; Viridiplantae; Streptophyta; Magnoliopsida; Fagales; Fagaceae. The record is from RefSeq and is a predicted model, not a curated record.
UCCUCUCUCUCUCAUCACUCUUCUCUCUCUCUCUCUCAUGUUAAACUUGGUUACUUUGUGGAUUAUUUUUUCUUCCUUCGAGAUUAGCAAGAUAUUGAUUUUGGGAUUAAAGAGGGUGUUGAUUUUAGGACAUAAAUUUUGAUUGGAGAAGAGAGCUUCACUGCAAGUCUUCCAAGUCUCCUUUUCCAAUUGGUCCUAACCACUAAGGGAAGAAUUCGGAUGACAAGGGCAUCAAGAACUCGGUCUUCUGUUUGGAAAGUUAGUGAUAUGCAUCCAGAUAUGGGAUUGGUGGCAAAAAGAUAGCUUUUGUGGGACUACUUGAAUUCAAAUAAUUUUUUUAAAGUUUGGACGUUAAGACAUCAUUUGUAUAUAAAUGGUUGUAAUUACUUUGUGAACAUCUUUAUUGCAUUUUUAGAUUGUAUGGAUUUUUUAUUUUAUGGAUUUGGUUAGAAAUUAAUGGA